This 243-nucleotide long non-coding RNA is filed under the name Elaeis guineensis (African oil palm). RNAcentral describes it as "long non-coding RNA (EGUI_LNC010233)". Lineage: Eukaryota; Viridiplantae; Streptophyta; Magnoliopsida; Arecales; Arecaceae. The record is from RNAcentral.
UUGAGAAUACAGUUGUCAAUUCUAUAUAUAUUUAAGGUAAAGGAGGCUAUAAGCAAGAUGAAAAUAGGAAAGCAGUUGAACCUAAUGGAAUCCCUCUUGAGAUUUGAAAGUAUUUAGGUGAUAUAGGAUAUCUUGAUUUAUGGAUUUGUUUAAUAAGAUUUUAAAGACCAAGAAGAUACCUAAUAAAUGAAGGAAGAGUACUAUAGUAUCAAUUUAUAAUAAGAUCAUAUUCAAAAUUAUUUC